AGAUCGCAUGGAUUAGUGUUUAAAAGUGCAUUACUUUUAUUUUAAAACCAUUGUGCUAAUGUAGCUCAGUCUAUCUAUAAUUGAAAGACGAUCCUUAUUCUUAGAUUUAAACAUUGGCCAGUGACCUUUCCAACUUUUGGAGAUUUCCAGAACAUAAAGAAAAGAAAGCUUAGUUUAAUUAAAUGCUGUAAGCCAGCACAGUUCCUUGUCUGCCUUAUUUGCUUAGCAUGUUUCUACAAUAGGUAAUGAUAAUUUUCCCCCAAUAACUGAGGUCAACAGCAGCAAAUUCCAGUGCCUCUGCAGCCAGGCAUAUGUAUAGGACCCUGUGACCUGAUCAAGGCCAAAGAAGUUUCCAGCCUCCUCAGAUCCUCACUGGUGCUCAGAUUUCUGUGAUUAUCAGUCACCUCUUCAUCCCAGCCCUGUUCUCUUCUGCCGUCCCUCUGACACAAGAACAGAAAAUGAAAUACCGCAUAUUCUCACUCAUAGGGUACCCCAAUCAAAUAGAAAAACAAAGCAGCAAAUUCUGAGGAAAAGCCCACAUGGAAGGGGAGGUAGUUCCUGGUUGCACACGCUGGAGUGACUUACCAGUGUAGGAGCCUGUGGACACUGCUUUUCCUGUCACCAACAAAGCUUUGCAGGCAGCUGAUGCUACGCCUAAGGAAGAAGGGAGAAUCUCUGAGACAAAAGCAUUAUUGGCAGCUGCUGGGACACCUCUGGAAUUCCAGUCAUGGUGUCAGCUAGCCAUUAGCAGCUGGUACUUGUGAGUGGUUGUUGAUCUGUCUAAUAGUGUGAAUAGGUAAUUCCUGCAACACUGCUGUGGCUGAUUACUCCAUCCAUUGGAAAUCAGGCAGGCUAGGACACCUAAGGCACACAGGCCCUCACUGGGUGCCAUAGAACUGUAACCAAAUCCAGGUUCAGCUGCUCACUGCUC
This 931-nucleotide long non-coding RNA is filed under the name Callithrix jacchus (white-tufted-ear marmoset). RNAcentral's name for it is "lncRNA (ENSCJAG00000067234.2)". The record is from RNAcentral. Lineage: Eukaryota; Metazoa; Chordata; Mammalia; Primates; Cebidae.